Molecule: ribosomal RNA, 253 nt
Filed under: uncultured bacterium
Lineage: Bacteria
Description: partial 16S ribosomal RNA
Rfam family: Bacterial small subunit ribosomal RNA
Source: RNAcentral
UACGGAGGGUGCAAGCGUUAUCUGGAUUCACUGGGUUUAAAGGGUGCGUAGGUGGGUUGAUAAGUCAGUGGUGAAAUCCCCGAGCUUAACUUGGGAACUGCCAUUGAUACUAUUGAUCUUGAAUACCGUGGAGGUCAGCGGAAUAUGUCAUGUAGCGGUGAAAUGCUUAGAUAUGACAUAGAACACCAAUUGCGAAGGCAGCUGGCUACGCGAAUAUUGACACUGAUGCACGAAAGCGGGGGGAUCGAACAGG